RNAcentral lists this transfer RNA (74 nucleotides) under Halobacteriales archaeon QS_7_69_60. RNAcentral's name for it is "tRNA-Thr". The stretch from base 7 to 71 matches the Rfam family "tRNA". From Rfam's summary of the family: Transfer RNA (tRNA) molecules are approximately 80 nucleotides in length. Lineage: Archaea; Methanobacteriati; Methanobacteriota; Halobacteria; Halobacteriales. The record is from RNAcentral.
CGGGCGGCCGUUGAAUCGAAAGCGCGUCCUUGGUAAGGACGAGAGCCCGGGUUCAAAUCCCGGCCUAGGCUCUU